Molecule: ribosomal RNA, 747 nt
Filed under: uncultured prokaryote
Description: bacterial SSU rRNA
Rfam family: Bacterial small subunit ribosomal RNA
Source: RNAcentral
GCAGCUUGCUGGACUGUAACUGACGCUGAGGCACGAAAGCGUGGGGAUCAAACAGGAUUAGAUACCCUGGUAGNCCACGCCGUAAACGAUGNNUGCUAGCUGUUAGCGAUAUACUGUUAGCGGCACAGAGAAAUCGUUAAGCAUUCCACCUGGGGAGUACGCCGGCAACGGUGAAACUCAAAGGAAUUGACGGGGGCCCGCACAAGCGGAGGAACAUGUGGUUUAAUUCGAUGAUACGCGAGGAACCUUACCUGGGCUUAAAUUGCAGUGGAAUAACGUGGAAACAUGUUAGCCUUCGGGCCGCUGUGAAGGUGCUGCAUGGUUGUCGUCAGCUCGUGCCGUGAGGUGUCGGCUUAAGUGCCAUAACGAGCGCAACCCUCAUCGAUAGUUACUAACAGGUUAAGCUGAGGACUCUAUCGAGACUGCCGACGUAAGUCGUGAGGAAGGUGGGGAUGACGUCAAAUCAGCACGGCCCUUACGUCCAGGGCUACACACGUGUUACAAUGGGGGGUACAAAGGGCAGCUACCUGGCGACAGGAUGCUAAUCUCAAAAACCUCUCUCAGUUCGGAUUGGAGUCUGCAACCCGACUCCAUGAAGCUGGAUUCGCUAGUAAUCGCGCAUCAGCCACGGCGCGGUGAAUACGUUCCCGGGCCUUGUACACACCGCCCGUCAAGCCAUGGGAGCCGGGGGGACCUGAAGUAUGCAACCGUAAGGAGCGUCCUAGGGUAAAACUGGUGACUGGGGCU